AGACACCCCGAACGACGGCAUCUUGAACUUGGGCAUUUUGAACUUGCUGUCUUUGGCAGUCACAUCCUUUUCAGCCAGGGACAGGUCCCCCUCCAGCCGCGCACCAUCCAGCUUGGCUCUCGGGGCCUGGACGUCCACCUCCACGCUGGGCAGAGACACCUCCACAUCAGGGACUGUCACUUCCGCCUUGGGGACUUUUAGGUCCAGCUUGGGGCCCUUGAUGUCCACCUGGGGGCCCUUGAGGUCCACUUUGGGCAUCUUCAAACUGGGCAUCUCCACCUUGGGCAGGUGCUCUUUGAGGCCGGCUCCCUCGGGCACCUGGCCCU
This 326-nucleotide unclassified non-coding RNA is filed under the name Hevea brasiliensis (rubber tree). The record is from RNAcentral. Lineage: Eukaryota; Viridiplantae; Streptophyta; Magnoliopsida; Malpighiales; Euphorbiaceae.